This is a long non-coding RNA of Scatophagus argus, 1656 nucleotides long. RefSeq lists it as uncharacterized. The record is from RefSeq and is a predicted model, not a curated record. Lineage: Eukaryota; Metazoa; Chordata; Actinopteri; Scatophagidae. The transcript has 2 exons.
GACUAAGCUCCUAUAACAUUAGUCAAAAAACCAAGCAACGUUGGAUCCUUUUUGGAAACGUUCGGCACGGACCGGAGGCGUCACAGGAGGAGAGCGGCUGCCAGGCGUUUGAUCUGCUACCCGGAGGAUGUUGCAGAUUCGUGGCUAUUAUGCACGGGGGCUACCGUGCGAAGGCUAAAGCGGCUAGCAAGCAUCGGAUCAGCUGAUCACCGCCCGGCGCCCAACGCGUAAGGCAGAUAAGCCUGCAUCUCUGAUGGGUUGCUGAUCACUCAUGCUGUCCCAACAGAAAGGAAGAGGACAGGCCGAACACAAGGCUGCUCUCAAAUGAUGUCAGACAGACCCGAAACCUGCUGAUGACUCAUUUUUGUUGAACGUGAAAAUUCAGACAAAUAAGACAAAACCACUAAACCUGUCUCUCAGUUACUGCUGGCAUAAAAUCACAGACUUAAUCCUUUUGGUUACUUGCCACCAAACAAUAAAUGUCACAUAACGAGAAUAACAUAUAUGCUGUUCAAUGAAGAUGAUUUCUCUUUGUCCCUGAUUUCUUCUUCAAAGAAAGAGGGACUAAAUUACCGAUGUCCUGUUAUCUACUUUAUUACAAUCCUAUAAAGGCAGGUGUGAAUUAUUGUUCACUUUGGUUGGGCCUGGUUCCAGUCCCCCUGAGGAUGGGUGCAGCGCUGUGUUCCGUGAUCCUGGUUAUUUGGUUCCGUUGCCACCUGGGCGGUAACCAUGUCUGCAGUGGCAAGGGAUUCCCCUGAAAUGAUGGGCGAGGCAGCAGACACACCCCGCUGUCCAGUGCUGCAGAGAGACUGGCUGGGUGAGGGGCAGCUCUCUUCUCUGACUCGGCAUAAAUCGGGAAGGGGUGGAGCCGGGCCCCCUCUGGCAUUACCACACUACAGCCUGGUCCUAGAGAGCAGCAGCACACAGCGUGGCCUUUAAACAUACUGACAGCUUACUUGUUGACUCUGGGAGCCAAAGUGGAUGUGCAAAAAGUAGGAUCCACUAUCUUGCUUCCUUUACUAUUAAAUAAAACUGCCCUGUACAGCCUGGGCUCACACCGAGGCUACUGCCAGUCACACUGGUACUGUUAAUAAAAACAAAGAGACACAACUGUUAGAAACAAUAAGUCAUUCUGUCACCAUUUGUAGAGGCAAAUUUUAGAACUAUGAGACCAAGACUACUAGCUUCUUCAUAUAAUAGUAAAAUAAAUAGCCAAGGCCACCACAAAUUUGUAUAUUCUCACUAAAAAAAGUCACAGACACAAUAUGAACUCCUGCUCAUAUAUUACGGUCGUUGUUUUAAAUAAAGGAGAGUGCACCCUCACACAGCACCACACUCCUCCUGCCAGUGUGUCCAUUCCCUCCCCGGCCUUACAGUCCAGACAGUGCUCAUACAGAGAGAUGCAGCCUUUGUGAAGCCGUGAUAAAACGCUGCCUAUGAAAUGGUGCACUACGGGUGGGCCUGUGCUGCAUCUUGGCAGAUGCUGCGGCACGCCUCAGUGUGGGAACCUGCUGGAGGAGGUCGAGGACGCAGGGAUGCGGCUGCUACACAGCAUCGAUUAACACGGGCGCUCCCGUCAUGUUACAUUUUGCAGAUCACUUUCUUUCUUUCUUUCUUUGUUUUUCUUUUUUUUUUUUUUUUUUUUUGCUGCAAUAU